GAGUACGGAAGUUUAGUGCCUGCUCACUCAAUGCUUGUGAUUACAAACAAUGAAAGCAAAUACGUUAUGAGGCAUAAAUACUGUGACUUAAACCGUGUUAAAUUUACAACAUUAGAGUACACGGGAAGUUAGAGAGCUAUAGUAAAAGAUGAGACUUUUUUCAAUAACCCAGGUAGCACAGUUGUUAAACUGUUUUUGACAUAUCGAUAAGGCGCCAACAUGUUGACAAAACGAUCAGAAAUUUAUAUGUCACCGAAAAAAUAUCUACUUAAAAAAAAUUGACGCAAUUGACGACAAAAAAUAAAUUACAAAUAAUGUUCAAUAACAAUUUAAACUAUUCACCAAAGAAGUGAACUGUCAAUUGAAUAAUGUAAUCUGAAUACGAAAAUCGUUGUUUUCAUCAGUUUCAAUUUAAUUUUGAUUAAAAAAGGAUCCCAAUCGUUACUAUUGAAAUAAACCUAGAACGUUUAUAUUUAAAACAAAUGGCAACGUUCAUAUAUGAAGACAAAUGGCAGAAUGUAUCGACAAAUCUCAUCGAUAAACUUAGCGUAUGAAAAUAAUAUUGACACUGACAAUCCAGUACAAUGGCAUGCUUGGAAAUCGACAAUAGUCGUGAUCGGAUUUGAAUUGGUUCGGGUUUAAAUGUUAAUUCUUCUUUGUUUAUUGGGGGAAUCAUCCUCAGUAAAGUCUGGAAGUAUCUAUUUCUUUGAUAUUCUAUAAUGUUGGGUAUCGAUAUUUUUUUUUAACUAUUUUUAACUACGUCAGCCAUUUCCUUUACUGAUUCUCGUAAAUGUAACCGGCCUCUUUCAACUAGAUUUGCCAACCGUAUAUUCGUUGAGUGAUAAUUAUUUUCUUUGAUAAUGUUAUUACGUUUAACAAAUAUACGCCUUGAUUCGCUAAUACGUCGCAUUUUUCCUACGACCACUAUUUUUGAUCGCCAUGUAAGCCAUUCUCGUGGAUUGUCGGUGUGAAUAUUAUUUUUAUCCAGUAUAUCGACGAGGUACGAGGUAUACCCGAGUCGAAAAAUAAUUCCGGUUUUAGACCUCAAAUGCAAGAUUUUGAGGUUUGCCUCAGUUUGUCCUCACCAUUUAAAAUUCAUAUAAAUCUGAGAUAAGGUUAGUCUCAUUUUGUGUGACUUUUGCAACUUUCAGAAGUAUAUGAGGUUAACCUCAUGUAUAUAUUUCUUAUCGAUGAGACCAAUAUGAGGUUUAUCUCACAUAUAGUUCUUAUGGAUGAGACCAAGAUGAGGUUAACCUCACAUAUAUAUUUCUGAUAGGUGAGACCAAGAUGAGGCUUAACCAAUUAGUUAAGCUGUUGAGGCUUAAUUGAGACAUGUCCGACAAAAACUGCCGAAUGAGACCUAAAUGAGUCCAAAAUCCACCGUUGAGGCCAAAAUCCGGUAU
This is a long non-coding RNA of Microplitis mediator, 1403 nucleotides long. RefSeq lists it as uncharacterized. The record is from RefSeq and is a predicted model, not a curated record. NCBI's taxonomy places the organism in Eukaryota, Metazoa, Arthropoda, Insecta, Hymenoptera, Braconidae. The transcript is spliced from 4 exons.